RNAcentral lists this ribosomal RNA (277 nucleotides) under uncultured Sphingobacteriia bacterium. RNAcentral describes it as "partial 16S ribosomal RNA". It matches the Rfam family "Bacterial small subunit ribosomal RNA", at positions 66 to 342 of the family's 1533-position model. The record is from RNAcentral. Lineage: Bacteria; Pseudomonadati; Bacteroidota; Sphingobacteriia.
GGUAACAUUGUAGCUUGCUACAGAUGACGACCGGCGCACGGGUGAGUAACGCGUAUGCAACCUGCCUUUGACAGGGGGAUAGCCCGGAGAAAUCCGGAUUAAUAUCCCAUGGUAUUUACGAAUCGCAUGGUUUGUAAAUUAAAGAUUUUAUCGGUCAAAGAUGGGCAUGCGUGACAUUAGCUAGUUGGUAAGGUAACGGCUUACCAAGGCUGCGAUGUCUAGGGGUUCUGAGAGAUGAUCCCCCACACUGGUACUGAGACACGGACCAGACUCCUAC